UGGGGGCAACCCUGAUCCAGCCAUGCCGCGUGAGUGAUGAAGGUCUUAGGAUUGUAAAGCUCUUUCGGCAGGGAAGAUGAUGACGGUACCCGCAUAAAAAGCCCCGGCUAACUUCGUGCCAGCAACCUCGGUAAUACAGCCGCGGUAAUA
RNAcentral lists this ribosomal RNA (150 nucleotides) under uncultured bacterium. RNAcentral's name for it is "partial 16S ribosomal RNA". It matches the Rfam family "Bacterial small subunit ribosomal RNA", at positions 372 to 537 of the family's 1533-position model. The record is from RNAcentral.